This 91-nucleotide ribosomal RNA is filed under the name Amanita sp. 'penetratrix'. Its description in RNAcentral is "partial 28S ribosomal RNA". It matches the Rfam family "Eukaryotic large subunit ribosomal RNA", at positions 1 to 89 of the family's 3401-position model. The record is from RNAcentral. Lineage: Eukaryota; Fungi; Basidiomycota; Agaricomycetes; Agaricales; Amanitaceae.
UCUGACCUCAAAUCAGGUAGGAUUACCCGCUGAACUUAAGCAUAUCAAUAAGCGGAGAAAAAGAAACUAACAAGGAUUCCCUUAGUAACUG